Molecule: ribosomal RNA, 253 nt
Filed under: uncultured bacterium
Lineage: Bacteria
Description: partial 16S ribosomal RNA
Rfam family: Bacterial small subunit ribosomal RNA
Source: RNAcentral
UACGUAGGGUGCAAGCGUUGUCCGGAUUUAUUGGGCGUAAAGGGCUCGUAGGCGGUCCGUCACGUCGGAAGUGAGAACCUAGAGCUUAACUCUGGGCCUGCUUUCGAUACGGGCGAACUUGAGUUCGGUAGGGGAGACUGGAAUUCCUGGUGUAGCGGUGGAAUGCGCAGAUAUCAGGAGGAACACCAAUGGCGAAGGCAGGUCUCUGGGCCGAUACUGACGCUGAGGAGCGAAAGCGUGGGGAGCGAACAGG